AUUAAAAUGUAUUAAUAGCAUGAUAUAUGACUGGAUAAAUCACGGUCAGAUUUCAAUAUUUAGAAAUCUUAGUUAACUAAAGAAUAUAUAGUUAUAAACAUUCAAUUCUGCAGGUGGAAUUAAGAAUAAUUAUAUAUUAAUGUGAUAGUAUCACGUGUUAGCAUACCGCUGUUUUUAUCCAGGUGUAUUGAUUUGUUCUAAAAUAAGAUAAGAUAUCUUUUUAGUCAAAUUAAAAUUCGG
Non-coding RNA from Pelobates cultripes (western spadefoot toad), 240 nucleotides. Lineage: Eukaryota; Metazoa; Chordata; Amphibia; Anura; Pelobatidae. The record is from the annotation of a GenBank genome assembly.